Molecule: non-coding RNA, 148 nt
Filed under: Pan troglodytes (chimpanzee)
Lineage: Eukaryota; Metazoa; Chordata; Mammalia; Primates; Hominidae
Source: Rfam by way of RNAcentral
GCUGGGUGUGGUGGCGCACACCUGUAGUCCUAGCUACUUGGGAGGCUGAGGCAGGAGAAUCGCUUGAACCAGGGAGGCGGAGGUUGCAGUGAGUCGAGAUCGUGCCACUGCAGUCCAGCCUGGGCAACAGAGCCAGACUCUGUCUCAA